UUGAGAAUGAGAAGUUAUUGCUCUUUAUAAAGUUUCAAUAGGACUCCAAUUGUAUCAUUGACCAGUCCUUUUAGAGUAUAGGCCAUGUGGUUUGGGCCUUCUAUUGGGGCGUUACAAAUGGUAUUAAAGCCUAUCCCAAUCAGAAAUGUAGAACUUAAACCAUGCCACCUAUGAUGUAUUGGCUCGACAAGGGCGUCAGGAAUUUAAGGGGGGGAGAUUGUGACACCCCAUAUGAUAAGGAUAAGGGUAGGUGGUGUAUGGGAUCCCACAUUGCUUAAGAAUGAGAGGUUCUUGCUCUUUAUAAGGUUCAAAUGAGGCUCUAAUUGCAUCAUUGACUUGUCCUUUUGGAGUAUAGGCCAUGUGGUUUGGGCCUUCCAUUGGGGCGUUACAUGGAGUACAGGUGGAUGACGGAACAGAGAGAGAGAGUGAUGAGAGAGAGAAA
Long non-coding RNA from Juglans microcarpa x Juglans regia, 442 nucleotides. RefSeq lists it as uncharacterized. The transcript is spliced from 4 exons. NCBI's taxonomy places the organism in Eukaryota, Viridiplantae, Streptophyta, Magnoliopsida, Fagales, Juglandaceae. The record is from RefSeq and is a predicted model, not a curated record.